This 189-nucleotide ribosomal RNA is filed under the name Triticum aestivum (bread wheat). RNAcentral describes it as "partial small subunit ribosomal RNA". The record is from RNAcentral. Lineage: Eukaryota; Viridiplantae; Streptophyta; Magnoliopsida; Poales; Poaceae.
AUGAUGUUUGAAAUUUUCUUUAGUCCUUCUGGGAGGUCCCCUGCAUAUACUGGUUGUGCAGGUUGUGCAGACAUUGUAACAUUGACCUUCUUAACCCACGGAAGUGCUGCAACGACCUCAUUUGCCUUUUCUUCGAACUGUACAGCACAAAUUCAGAGUUUUAGGCAAAGCCAUUCCUUGGAAGGAUAA